Molecule: ribosomal RNA, 536 nt
Filed under: uncultured bacterium
Lineage: Bacteria
Description: bacterial SSU rRNA
Rfam family: Bacterial small subunit ribosomal RNA
Source: RNAcentral
UGGGGAAUAUUGCGCAAUGGAGGCAACUCUGACGCAGCCAUGCCGCGUGUGUGAAGAAGGCCCUCGGGUUGUAAAGCACUUUCAAUUGGGAGAAAAAGCUUGUCGUUAAUAGCGGCAAGCCUUGAUGUUACCUUUAGAAGAAGCACCGGCUAACUCCGUGCCAGCAGCCGCGGUAAUACGGAGGGUGCGAGCGUUAAUCGGAAUUACUGGGCGUAAAGCGCGCGUAGGCGGUUGCUUAAGUCGGAUGUGAAAGCCCCGGGCUCAACCUGGGAACUGCAUUCGAUACUGGGCGACUAGAGUACGAGAGAGGGAGGUAGAAUUCCACGUGUAGCGGUGAAAUGCGUAGAUAUGUGGAGGAAUAUCGGUGGCGAAGGCGGCCUCCUGGCUCGAUACUGACGCUGAGGUGCGAAAAGCGUGGGGAGCAAAACAGGAUUAGAUACCCUGGUAGUCCACGCCGUAAACGAUGUCUACUAGCCGUUGGGGUACUUGAGACCUUAGUGGCGCAGCUAACGCGAUAAAGUUGACCGCCUGGGAGU